CGUGAAAGCUCUUCGGAGUGAGUAGAGUGGCGGACGGGUGAGUAACGCGUAGGAAUCUACCCAGUAGUGGGGGACAACCUGGUGAAAACCAGGCUAAUACCGCAUACGCCCUAUGGGGGAAAGCGGGGGACCUUCGGGCCUCGCGCUAUUGGAUGAGCCUGCGUAAGAUUAGCUAGUUGGUGGGGUAAAGGCCUACCAAGGCGACGAUCUUUAGCUGGUCUGAGAGGAUGAUCAGCCACACUGGAACUGAGACACGGUCCAGACUCCUACGGGAGGCAGCAGUGGGGAAUAUUGCGCAAUGGGCGAAAGCCUGACGCAGCCAUGCCGCGUGUGUGAAGAAGGCCUUCGGGUUGUAAAGCACUUUCAGCGGGGAGGAAAAGCUGAGCGUUAAUAGCGUUCAGCCGUGACGUUACCCGCAGAAGAAGCACCGGCUAAUUCAGUGCCAGCAGCCGCGGUAAUACUGAAGGUGCAAGCGUUAAUCGGAAUUACUGGGCGUAAAGCGCGCGUAGGCGGCUUGGUCAGUUGGGUGUGAAAUCCCAGAGCUCAACUCUGGAACGGCCUUCAAUACUUCCAGUCUAGAGUCCGUAAGGGGGUGGUGGAAUUCCGAGUGUAGA
This 614-nucleotide ribosomal RNA is filed under the name uncultured bacterium. RNAcentral describes it as "bacterial SSU rRNA". It matches the Rfam family "Bacterial small subunit ribosomal RNA", at positions 67 to 679 of the family's 1533-position model. The record is from RNAcentral.